This 80-nucleotide transfer RNA is filed under the name Candidatus Shapirobacteria bacterium CG_4_8_14_3_um_filter_39_11. Its description in RNAcentral is "tRNA-Leu". It matches the Rfam family "tRNA". Rfam says of the family: Transfer RNA (tRNA) molecules are approximately 80 nucleotides in length. The record is from RNAcentral. RNAcentral also lists the same sequence under 2 other names. Lineage: Bacteria; Candidatus Shapironibacteriota.
GCCGAGGUGGCGGAAUGGUAGACGCGCACGGUUCAGAACCGUGUCCGAAUAGGGUGGGGGUUCAACUCCCCCUCUCGGCA